Rhinolophus ferrumequinum (greater horseshoe bat) is the source of this 1887-nucleotide long non-coding RNA. RefSeq lists it as uncharacterized. The record is from RefSeq and is a predicted model, not a curated record. Lineage: Eukaryota; Metazoa; Chordata; Mammalia; Chiroptera; Rhinolophidae. The transcript is spliced from 2 exons.
AGAGGGUGCCGACGGCCGAGGCGCGUGGGGGCGGCACUUCGCGAAGUGUCAAGUCGGGGCGGCAGGGCCCUGGGCGUCGCUCUCCGAAGGCGGCCGGAGUGGCGGACUCGCGCUGGGCAGGGAACGGUCCCUUUGACACUGGGCGUUUGGACACUGGCCGCGUGGGCUUGGUGAAGGAUGGGAAGAGGCUGGCUCUCUGCCCCGGGGUCCGGCCCCGGCCCGGCACUUUCGGAGCUGACAUACAGAAGCACAUUAGUUUCCGGUGUACAACACAGUGAUUAGACAUUUAUGUAUCGUACGAAAUAACCGCCCCGUAAGUCUAGUUCGCAUCUAACACAGUUAUUACAAUGUCAUUAACUCUGUUCCCUACGCUGUACUUCACAUGCCCGCGAGCAUUUUUCUAACUGGUAAUUUGUACUUCUCAAGCCCUCGCACCCGUGUCACCCAGCCCCACCCGUCCCAUCUGGUGACCAUCAGUGUGUUCUGUGUGAGUCUGUUGCAGCAUAUUCACAACAGCCAAGGUAUGGAGCAUCCCAGGGGCCCAUCGAUAGACGGCUGGAUAAAGAAGUGUGGUACAUACACAACGGACUGUUACUCGGCCAUAAAAAGGAAGACCUUGCCUUUUGCGACUACGUGGAUGAACUAGGAGGGCACUGUGCGGAGUGGAGUCAGUCAGACAGAGACAAACAUACCACGUGCUCUCACUUGUACGUGGAAUCGGCCCCUCAUUGUGGUUUUGAUUGCAUUUCCCUAAUGCCCCAAGGCCCUGAGCGCCUUUCCAUGCACUUGGCCUCUUUCUCUAGCAUUUCAGCACCUUCACGUCAGAACUCUAUCAGGGAUGUGAGCCUGGGAGAUGCACUUGGCCUCCCCGCUCUGGGCAAAGGCUUCUCACCAAAACUUGGCUCCCCAGCUAGACAAGGGCUCCCUGACCCAGUCCAGCUACCUCUCCAGCCCAGGCAGAGUUCCAGAAGCAGCAAGGACCACACUAUAUCUACGUGUUGAGCAUCCCUGUGUGCCUCUAACACAAAGGGUGGCGUGUGUGAGCUGGGGGGCCCAGAGCUGACCGGAUGCUGAGAUGUCUGCAGGAAGGCCCUGCAGCCCCUCUCCUGCCGGCUGCUCUCCGUGGACAGACAGGGCAGAUGCCCUCGGACAGGGGGGCUGAGUGCAAGUCCUGACCUGCUGCCUGCAGACGCUUUGGGUGUGAGUCCAGACCAUCUGCGGCCCUGGCAGGAAGAUGCACUGCCAGAUGGUGGGCAGGAGCCAGGGAGCUGGGCUCAGCAGCCUGCCUGAGGUGUGUCACCAGCAACCAGCACACAGGCCCAGAGCUCAGGAGGGCAUUCCUAAGGCCACAAGGCGUGGGCGGGGGCAGGGCCUCUUCCCCAUGGGGGCUGGGGGUGGAGGGACAGGGCCUCUUCCUCACAGCGGGCGGGAGGGGCACCUGGCCAUCACACAGUGGGCCACAGCUGGGAUUGAGACCCUGUCCCUGGGGUUCCUGCUGUCACCGCUGCCUCUGCCCAUCGCCCCCACCCCCCACUCCCCAGCUCUCCCUCUCCUCUGGCCAAACCCCCGUACUGGGGAACCCCCAGCCCAGGAAAGGGCUCUGACUCCCAGAGUGUGACCAUUGGCGCCUGACCCUGUCCUGAGUCUGUCUCUGGCCGUGUGCUGCAAAGGGCCAAGAUCACACUUGUGGGCAGGUCCACGCUGGAUUUGGGCAGACGUUUUAGACUCUGGAAACUCCCAGAGGCCUUUUCUCCCCUCAGUCAGCCCCAGUCUCCCCAGGCUCCUUAUCAAAGGAGCCUGAGCCUGAAGGUCCCCCCACCCCCAGGCUUCCAAAAUGAAAAAGCCUAAGAAUCGACUCAUUUCUCAAAAUAAACACUGUCUCUGGCC